UGUCGCCUGGGAGUUGUAGUCCCAAGCUGCGAGGCCCUGGGUUCGUCCCAGGCUACACGAACCCUCGUCCUUAGACCCUAUCUCAACUCAGGGAGAAUGAACCAGCGCUUUCUACAAGGCCUGCAGGAGGUUCGCUCAUGUUGGAGUGCACGGUAACUGACUCAUUUAGCCAAGAGAAACGUAGGAGCGGAAUGGAGAUUACCGACCGAUACUCGUAAAGCGGUUCGGACAAGGUGACCCAGAGAAACGAAGUCACUUUGUUCAAGAUUGCUAAAUUAUAAAUGGCAAAGCAAGAGUCAAAGGCCGUUUAAAAUAAAUUAAAAA
Molecule: long non-coding RNA, 324 nt
Organism: Mastomys coucha (southern multimammate mouse)
Lineage: Eukaryota; Metazoa; Chordata; Mammalia; Rodentia; Muridae
Exons: 2
Source: RefSeq, a predicted model, not a curated record